GGAGUUGAGUCGGAAUCUGCGGUUUGUGACAGAAAGAGGAGGGAGAACCGCGGAGAAAAUGAGGAAGAAGAGAACGAAAUGAGGGAGAAUAAGAAGGGUGGGUUUAUAUAUUAAAAAUAAACCGACAGACAGUUUCCGUCGGAAUUUCGUCGGAAUUUAGUUGGUACUUUCGACGGAAUUCCGACUUGGUACUUUCGACGAAAUUCCGACGGAUCCGAGAAAUAUGACUUUGGAGGUUUGAAAACAACAAUGUUAUGAGCACAUACAAAUCUUUGAUAGUAUGUAAAUGAUUUACAAGAAGUUUAACUGAAAUAUUUAAUUGUUUCACACACUGUAAAAUGUUCAUCGGAAUUUCGUCGGACGUGCGUCGGAUUUCUAAAACGGUCAAAUUUCUCUGUCGGAAUCCGAACGGUCAAAAUGGCCGUCGGAAUAUUUUUGUCGGUAAUCCAUCGGAGCUCUUAAUGGUCAAAAUAUCCGUCGGAAUUUCGUCGGAUAUUUCUGACGACCCUAUAUUCGUCGAUUUGGCGUCGGAAAUUUCCGACGAAAAACCGACGAACACACAAAUAUAUGGUUCGUCGGUUUCUCGUCGGAAUUUCGUCAGAAGAAACCGACGAAAGUGGCGUCCGUCAGAAUGGCCGUUGGAUUGUAGUGUGUUUUCUUGUAGUGUCCCUUUACUUUCCUUUUCAGAAUCUUCCACUAUAUCCCGUGAAAUUCAUCACUCUAAUAGUCUCAAUCUUGAGCUUCCUAAAACAAUAGCCAGGUCUAUCCUUAUCCUUUCCACAUCACAAUUAUAUGCCCGUCAAUGUUUCCUAAAGCUCUAGAUCUAUCGUCGCGACCUCUCCUAUCGUUUUCUUCAGCGACGUCUUUUCAGGAGUAAGCGCAGAGAAGAUGAGAAAUCAUCUCUUUCCAAAGGUCAUCAAUGUUGAUAUAUGAUUUCAGCCUCGAAGAACAAAGAUUUAUCAUCUUCCUUUGAUUUUUCUUUUCUUCUACUUUCAGUGAUUUCCAUACCUCCUCAUUUGUUAAGCAAAUUUAUGAUUUUUCGUAGCCCAUUAUUGGCCUUUUAUAUGCAUGAUCAAUCUGGACUAAUGGGUUUACUGGUAAGCUAUCUUACCUUCCCUUUUAUUUUCAGUGUAAAGAAACAAAGCUGAACCUGUUGAUUCAGAGUUAAACAUGUAUAUGUGUGUGAAAUUUUGAUUUGAUGGUCGCUGGAUGGGAGGUGAUUGGGGAUAUCAGCUUUCUCAGAGGAAGACAACAUAUUCUGAAGGUGCUGAUUACAGAGUUAAGGAAGACAAAAAUAUUCUCACUCGCUUUCUCUAACGAUUGUCUUUUCUAAACCCCCAAAAUCAUGUUUGAGAAUUUCUGCUUCCAUCCCAGUGUGGAUGUCUAUGACAAUAUUUGCUUUGAUAUUCUUCAGGUAUAAAACAAUCAUUUUGCUUCUACUACUACUUGUGUUUAACUAGUUAAUCUCAAGCUACCAUAUAUCAAAGAAGCUAUAUAACUUUAAAGGAAACAGAAAAAAAUGUUUUACAUUUUUUGUAUGAUAAAUGGUCAUCCGUUUGAUGCAUAAAUGUUCUACUUGAGGCAUGUAUGCACAAAGUGACAGAAGAGUCGGCAAAACGUGGAGCCGUUUGGUCUGAAAAGUGGCCAGAGUAGAGAUUGUUCAUCAGUGGUUGGAUUCUAAGGAAGACACAUAUGGAAAUCAGCACAAGAGGAUUUCACAGCAGACAUGAAUGUUGAGAAACUAUUGUUUCAGAGUCAUACUUCAAGGGUGUAGGAAUUGAGUGGUGGUAUGUGAGAAACGUUAUGGAUUGAGAGCUGUAUAUGGAGGGUAAGUACUGAAAAAAAAUCUUUCACCAAUACAAAAUUGGCUCCAUUUAUCUAUUACUAAAUGAUAUAUCUCUCUUUCUGGCUUUCAGUUAUAUUGCUGCAUUGAAGAAUCUGAGACUCUGUGUGAUUAAUGUACUUUCCUCAAACUUACGACCUUCAUGAUGAUUCAUCUAUUCUCUGCACUGAAGAAGAGGUGCAGCUUGGUGUCUGUAAUGGCUGAAGUGAACCGAAUUCUUAGACCACAAGGAACAUUUAUAGUAAGUGAUGACAUGGAAAAGAUAGGAGAAAUUCAGAAGAUGGUGGAAUCAUUGAAAUGAAAUGUAAUAAUGACACAUUCCAGAUAUGGAGAAGGAGUGAUGAUCUCUGUUCAGAAGUCAUGGUAGCGUCCUACAGAGGUCGAGACCAUUACAUCGGCGAUAGCAAGUGAAAGAGAAUUGGUUUAAUAAAGUUUUAUGAGAAUGUUUCUUUUAUGAUCACGUUGAUUGUUUACAUUGUACUAGUAUAAGACAUGCGCCUUGCGCAUGGUGAGUUUAUUUGUAUAUAUUAUCGAUAGUUUCUUUUA
This is a long non-coding RNA of Brassica napus (rape), 2389 nucleotides long. RefSeq lists it as uncharacterized. The record is from RefSeq and is a predicted model, not a curated record. The transcript is spliced from 2 exons. NCBI's taxonomy places the organism in Eukaryota, Viridiplantae, Streptophyta, Magnoliopsida, Brassicales, Brassicaceae.